UAGCGGGUGCAGAUAUUCAUAUAUUCGUGUUCUGCCCAAUUAAUUUCUUUUGAAAUCGAUUGUUUUUACAGUCUGUGAACACGAAUAUAUGAAUAUCUGCACCCGCU
Molecule: non-coding RNA, 107 nt
Organism: Paramuricea clavata
Lineage: Eukaryota; Metazoa; Cnidaria; Anthozoa; Malacalcyonacea; Plexauridae
Source: the annotation of a GenBank genome assembly